Molecule: ribosomal RNA, 460 nt
Filed under: uncultured bacterium
Lineage: Bacteria
Description: partial 16S ribosomal RNA
Rfam family: Bacterial small subunit ribosomal RNA
Source: RNAcentral
CCUACGGGUGGCAGCAGUGAGGAAUAUUGGUCAAUGGACGAGAGUCUGAACCAGCCAAGUAGCGUGAAGGAUGACUGCCCUAUGGGUUGUAAACUUCUUUUAUAUGGGAAUAAAAUGUUCCACGUGUGGGAUUUUGUAUGUACCAUAUGAAGAAGGAUCGGCUAAAUCCGUGCCAGCAGCCGCGGUAAUACGGAGGAUCCGAGCGUUAUCCGGAUUUAUUGGGUUUAAAGGGAGCAUAGGUGGAUUGUUAAGUCAGUUGUGAAAGUUUGCGGCUCAACCGUAAAAUUGCAGUUGAAACUGGCAGUCUUGAGUACAGUAGAGGUGGGCGGAAUUCGUGGUGUAGCGGUGAAAUGCUUAGAUAUCACGAAGAACUCCGAUUGCGAAGGCAGUUCACUGGACUGCAACUGACACUGAGGCUCGAAAGUGUGGGUAUCAAACAGGAUUAGAUACCCUUGUAGUC